Molecule: transfer RNA, 58 nt
Filed under: Salmo salar (Atlantic salmon)
Lineage: Eukaryota; Metazoa; Chordata; Actinopteri; Salmoniformes; Salmonidae
Rfam family: tRNA
About the family: Transfer RNA (tRNA) molecules are approximately 80 nucleotides in length. Their secondary structure includes four short double-helical elements and three loops (D, anti-codon, and T loops).
Source: Rfam by way of RNAcentral
UGGCUCAUUUGGUAGAGCAUGGUGUUUGCAACGCCAGGGUUGUGGGUUCGUUUCCCAU